This 375-nucleotide long non-coding RNA is filed under the name Elaeis guineensis (African oil palm). RNAcentral's name for it is "long non-coding RNA (EGUI_LNC051918)". Lineage: Eukaryota; Viridiplantae; Streptophyta; Magnoliopsida; Arecales; Arecaceae. The record is from RNAcentral.
UAGAUGAGAUCAAUAGUGGCAUUAGCUAACCCUUUAUAUUCAGAUUUAGUAUUUGAGCAAGCAAUGGCACAUUAUUUCUUGGCACUUUGAGAAUAAGAUUAGGACCAAGAAAUUAAAAAAAUCCCCUAAUAAAGUGACGAUCAUCUGGGUUCACAGCCUAAUUAGCAUCAAAAAAAACAUGUUGUAGGAAGAAGACUUGGUGAUCGAGAGGCCAUGAUGAAUAAUGUGUUUCAAGUAAUAAAGAAUAUGCUUGAAAGCUUGCCAAUAGAGAGUAAUGGGGUGAUGCAUAAAUUUGUAGACAUAAUUAACAGCAAAGACAAAAUCAGGUCAUAUUAAGGUAAGAUACUAAAGUGCUUCGAUACUACUUCAAUAUUG